Molecule: non-coding RNA, 574 nt
Organism: Macaca mulatta (Rhesus monkey)
Lineage: Eukaryota; Metazoa; Chordata; Mammalia; Primates; Cercopithecidae
Source: RefSeq, a predicted model, not a curated record
AGGGAUCCACCAUCUGCAGGCUGCCUGAGUCAUGGCUUUUGUCCAUAAGUCUCUAUCAAAUUUUUUUCCUGAGAUUUCAGAUUUGUCAGCCUCUUUCUUCAGCCUCUCAGCUCCCCCGGCCUUUUGCAGGUAGGUUUGCAUAGGCUGUUCCAGUGCAGAACACACAAGAAAGGACGUGGUGUCAACAGAAACAAAUCCCGAAUAAAGUCAGAGAGUUCAACCAAAAGGAGGGAGUUUGAAUCCAAGACAGAAGUAAACCACACAGAAGAAAGAUUACUCAUGGAAGCUGAGAGCGCAAUGGACUCAGGGAGAAAGUCUGAAGUCAAUCCACCUGGACAGAUGUCACAAACCACCGCCUACCCUGUGAGCCCAGCAGACUUCAAGGAGGCUACUGUAUGCUCUUCAAGCCCUUUGAACUCCCCUAAAAAUCAUUUACUGAGUUCCUAAAAUCAUUUAUGCUUCCCCAUCUCCCUUGCCCCUAAGGGCAUAUAUCCAUCUGUACACCACUCAGUGGUGGGGUAGUCACUCUGAGAUUUUUCUCCCAUCAUAUUAAUAAAUUUGUGUGUCAUAUAUA